UACANGGAUUCCCCUAGUAGCGGCGAGCGAAGCGGGAAGAGCUCAAAUUUAUAAUCUGGCACCUUCGGUGUCCGAGUUGUAAUCUCUAGAAAUGUUUUCCGCGUUGGACCGCACACAAGUCUGUUGGAAUACAGCGGCAUAGUGGUGAGACCCCCGUAUAUGGUGCGGACGCCCAGCGCUUUGUGAUACAUUUUCGAAGAGUCGAGUUGUUUGGGAAUGCAGCUCAAAUUGGGUGGUAAAUUCCAUCUAAAGCUAAAUAUUGGCGAGAGACCGAUAGCGAACAAGUACCGUGAGGGAAAGAUGAAAAGCACUUUGGAAAGAGAGUUAACAGUACGUGAAAUUGUUGGAAGGGAAACGCUUGAAGUCAGACUUGCUUGCCGAGCAAUCGGUUUGCAGGCCAGCAUCAGUUUUCCGGGAUGGAUAAUGGUAGAGAGAAGGUAGCAGUUUCGGCUGUGUUAUAGCUCUCUGCUGGAUACAUCUUGGGGGACUGAGGAACGCAGUGUGCCUUUGGCGGGGGUUUCGACCUCUUCACACUUAGGAUGCUGGUGGAAUGGCUUUAAACGACCCGUCUGGAAACCACGGACCA
Molecule: ribosomal RNA, 586 nt
Filed under: Rhodotorula mucilaginosa
Lineage: Eukaryota; Fungi; Basidiomycota; Microbotryomycetes; Sporidiobolales; Sporidiobolaceae
Description: eukaryotic LSU rRNA
Rfam family: Eukaryotic large subunit ribosomal RNA
Source: RNAcentral